This 70-nucleotide transfer RNA is filed under the name Loxodonta africana (African savanna elephant). It matches the Rfam family "tRNA". Rfam says of the family: Transfer RNA (tRNA) molecules are approximately 80 nucleotides in length. Their secondary structure includes four short double-helical elements and three loops (D, anti-codon, and T loops). The record is from Rfam by way of RNAcentral. Lineage: Eukaryota; Metazoa; Chordata; Mammalia; Proboscidea; Elephantidae.
CCCUGGGUGGUGUAAAUGUUCUACAUGCUUGAUUGUUAACCAAAUUUGGAGGUUCGAUUCCUCCCAGGGG